GUCACACCCCUUUUUAACCGAACUUCACUAAACCCUCUUAAAUAAAAUAAAAGAUUUAGUAAAGCUCAAAAGAGUUUUUAAUUAAAAAGUGACAAAAUUGUGUUCAAAAGGAAAUAACUCAGAGUCGCCACCUGACAUUGGUUUCGGUGUGUCAGGUCACCGUUUUUUAAAAAAAAAAAAUUUCCUUUAAAACACUUUGGACUCCAAACUAAGUCUGCACUAGAGAUUCGGGUAAGGGGGUUCAUUUGACUCGGGGAGAAGGUGUUAGGCACUCCCCAUAUCCCGUAACUAGUACGGUUGCAUACUUGAUUAGGUUGGCACUUAAAAUAUUCAAAUUAAGGUAUAAACACAGAAAAGAAAAUAAACACAAUAGAGGCUCGAGGUCGUCCCCACCUAACCAAAAAGAAAUAAAAGAAGAAAAUAAAUGUAAAAUCCUAAAUACUAAUAUAUACUAUAAUUUUCCCACGAAGUUCGUCAUGGCCUCCAAAUACAUGAUACUACGGGGCAUUCCCCGGAAUAAAAUAUAUACAAAUUCUUCGGGGUAUUCCCCGGAUAAAUUUAACUAAGGGAGCGACCUCUCGCCUCAAGGCUAACAAAAUCUUAAAGCUUGCCUACCCAAGUGUGGUCGACUUAAACAUGCUCCUAUCGAUUCAGUAGAAUAUAAUAAUAACAAUUGAAAUUCUUUUUUUUUAAAUUUCUAGUACCCAAACCUCACUGCCACUUUAUCCAAUUCCAACAUUUACACCAAGUAUAUGUUUUUAAUAUACUAAUUCGCAAUAGCAGUGAUAAAUAUGCAGAUUAAGGGAAAGACAAUAGCAUGGUUGAAACAGAACUUCAUUCACGCUCAAAAUUCGAGUAGGAUGAGAAAUGGACCUUACCGUCGAAAUCUUUCAAUUUCGGAUUAACAAAAGAACACCCAACAAUGAAUCACCAACAAAUCUUUGAACGAGCAAUUGGACGUGCGACCAAAGAAAACUCGACCGGCAGCCUCGAAUUACAAAUAGAGCCAGCGACCGAAACAGCCUUACAAACUCAGUCGACCGGACAGCCUUACAAACU
This 1059-nucleotide long non-coding RNA is filed under the name Nicotiana tabacum (common tobacco). RNAcentral's name for it is "long non-coding RNA (NTAB_LNC017418)". Lineage: Eukaryota; Viridiplantae; Streptophyta; Magnoliopsida; Solanales; Solanaceae. The record is from RNAcentral.